Molecule: long non-coding RNA, 714 nt
Organism: Agrilus planipennis (emerald ash borer)
Lineage: Eukaryota; Metazoa; Arthropoda; Insecta; Coleoptera; Buprestidae
Exons: 4
Source: RefSeq, a predicted model, not a curated record
AACAAGUUAAUGGUUUUAAAUAACACUACAUAGAUUAGAUAAUAGAUACACAAAGGGUAACACUACCUGAUCAAUGACGUUUAAGUUGGGUCGAGUUAUGUAUGGUGGUGGAUUUCGUAAAAAAAAAAUUCUGCUCGAAGUCAUGGAAUGGUCGAAAUCUAAUUAAUUUGUAUUAUUUAUAGUAUAAGAGAAGAUUCAGGCAAUUUAAGAAAAAAUCAUUGAUAAUUCAUUACUAUAAAUGGCAUGUUCGUGCAAGAAAAUCAAAAAAAGUUUUGUGGAACAAAAUAAAUAAAACACUAAAUACCUAAAAUUAGGCAUAAAACAGAUUUAUUUGUUUUUCACCUAUUUAGUAGAUUAACAGGCUCCAAGCCUCAAAACAAAAUAAAUGUACCAUGUAUUACGAUUAGGAAUGGUAUAUGGCAUUGCUGGUUUUAACUGUUUUAUUUAUCUGAGUAAUUACAUAAACUUUGGACAUCAUGUAUGGUUUGUCCGCGAUUGUAGCAAUCCACAUUUCAUCCCAGUCUGGAGCUUUUAUUCACUGGAAGCAGAAACAACAAUGGGUUGACCGUUGAAUGAAAGCGAAGGUCGGUGAUGAAUUUGAAUAAAAUUUCUUAUAAUGAAGUUUAGGAAAUUCUAAUCUUGGAACAUUCAAGGAUGUGUGAAAUAAUAAAUUGAAAUUAAUUCGGAGGAUAAAAACAUUUUUUGAAUUAUGAA